UACGGAGGGUGCAAGCGUUGUCCGGAUUCAUUGGGUUUAAAGGGUGCGUAGGCGGAUUGCUCAGUCAGUGGUGAAAGGCAGCGGCUCAACCGUUGAGUUGCCAUUGAUACUGGUAGUCUUGAGUGCACUAGAGGUAAGUGGAAUUUAUGGUGUAGCGGUGAAAUGCAUAGAUACCAUAAAGAACGCCAAUAGCGAAGGCAGCUUACUAGAGUGUAACUGACGCUGAGGCACGAAAGCGUGGGGAGCGAACAGG
Molecule: unclassified non-coding RNA, 253 nt
Filed under: uncultured Cytophagales bacterium
Lineage: Bacteria; Pseudomonadati; Bacteroidota; Sphingobacteriia; Sphingobacteriales
Description: contains 16S-23S intergenic spacer region
Rfam family: Bacterial small subunit ribosomal RNA
Source: RNAcentral